This 460-nucleotide ribosomal RNA is filed under the name uncultured bacterium. Its description in RNAcentral is "partial 16S ribosomal RNA". It matches the Rfam family "Bacterial small subunit ribosomal RNA", at positions 338 to 795 of the family's 1533-position model. The record is from RNAcentral.
CCUACGGGUGGCAGCAGUGAGGAAUAUUGGUCAAUGGGCGGAAGCCUGAACCAGCCAAGUCGCGUGAGGGAAUAAGGCCCUACGGGUCGUAAACCUCUUUUGCCGGGGAGCAAGGUCGGGGACGUGUUCCUUCCCGUAUAGUACCCGGAGAUAAAGCAUCGGCUAACUCCGUGCCAGCAGCCGCGGUAAUACGGGGGAUGCGAGCGUUCUCCGGAUUUAUUGGGUUUAAGGGGUGCGUAGGCGGGCAUUUAAGUCAGCGGUAAAAAUUCGGGGCUCAACCCCGUCCGGCCGUUGAAACUGGGGGCCUUGAGUGGGCGAGAAGAAGGCGGAAUGCGUGGUGUAGUGGUGAAAUGCAUAGAUAUCACGCAGAACCCCGAUUGCGAAGGCAGCCUUCCGGCGCCCGACUGACGCUGAGGCACGAAAGUGCGGGGAUCGAACAGGAUUAGAUACCCCAGUAGUC